CCACCACCCGCAGCACAAAGACUUUUUGGGGUGCUGUUUUGCUGAUGGGGACGUCCACUGGGAGCUAGCUCAUCAGCUGUGAUACCUGAAGCAGACAGCGUCAAUCCUCCAUAAUCUCGUGGCACGGGUCUAGGUGAAUGAAUAAUUUAGCCAGCAAAGUCCACAAGCCCAGAGACUUCACUCCUCGCACGAACUUUCAAUCUAUCCGUCCUCGCGACGCGCGCCAGGCCACAGCCGCAACACGCUACUAGCAGUUACGCGCCCCUCCUACCCCUAUCCCCCCACCUCGUCCUUCCACUUUCCCCACCUCUCAGGCCAAGCAAACGCACACCAGGCGAGGCAACGCAAAGAAGCAGGCAGGCAGCCAUGUCGUACUACGACCGGCGCGGGGAGUCGUCGGUGCUGGAGGCGUUCACGCUGUCGCCGCUGCCGUACCCGGUGAUCCUGAUCCUGAUGAUGGUGACGCUGCUGCUGGGGGCGUCGUGGUUCUUCUCGUACGAGGACUUCAUGGAGGAGGCGUCGGAGCAGUUCAGCUGGUUCCUGCUGGGCGUGCCCAUCGCGCUCGUCCUCCUCAUCCGCUGGAUCUCCUCCGUCGACACCUUCGAGGGCUACUUCGGGUUCUACCCCACCGAGAGCCGCUGGAGGGGGUACCCGGCCGCGCCCUCCGAGGGCAGCUCCCCCUGGGGCGUCGCCAUGGUCGUCGUCCUCCUGCUCCUCCUCGCCAGCUUCCACUCCACCUUCCAGGACAUGUGGAAGCCUUGAUGGAAUGAUCGAUGCUCCGAUCCAUACCUCGUAUGUACGUGUAUGUGUGUAUGUAUGUAAUUCCAUCGUAUCGAUCUGUAGUACACCUACGAAUGAUUGUUGCUUCCACCUUCCAGGCGGUUGCUGCACCUGCACGUAUGUGUGCCUUGCUUUUCCUCCUGUACUGUACAUAGAUGAAGGUUAUAUUCUGCUAGCUGAAAAACUAUAGAGCUUGAGUGUCACUCCUCUGUACUGGUUCUUGUUCUGUGUUUUACUGAAUCAACAGGUUUCUGUGGGAAAGUUUACUCUAUUCUGUCGAAAUAUUUGCCAUGUCCUUCGUUCUUCAUCAACAUACAUGUUUUUUUUAACUGGAUGGCAGUUGGUGGGAGCAAUCAUAGAUAGAAGCUGCACAAAGGAA
RNAcentral lists this ribosomal RNA (1159 nucleotides) under Triticum aestivum (bread wheat). Its description in RNAcentral is "partial small subunit ribosomal RNA". Lineage: Eukaryota; Viridiplantae; Streptophyta; Magnoliopsida; Poales; Poaceae. The record is from RNAcentral.